Molecule: long non-coding RNA, 422 nt
Organism: Myotis brandtii (Brandt's bat)
Lineage: Eukaryota; Metazoa; Chordata; Mammalia; Chiroptera; Vespertilionidae
Exons: 4
Source: RefSeq, a predicted model, not a curated record
UAAUGCAAGGGAAGAACAAAUGGAUGUAAACUUGAAGAGGGAAGAUUAGUACAACUAGCUACAGAGACUAGAACAGUGCCUGGCCCAUAAGAUGCAAAGCAGAAAUCAAGAAGUGCAAAAUUCAAUCAUUAAUCAACCUUAGAUAAAGGAUCACCUUUCUCCAAGGAACUUGUAAUGACCCUAAGAACUUGUAAGCGUGGCUGUGUAAAUGGACUUGCUUGUGACAAGGGAACAAUUUCUGACAUCUUGAAAGUCUGGUCUCUUUUAAAUCACAUGGGCCCUAAGAUAAACUAGAAAGACAAUACUACUGGUCACAUUAACAUGACGCCUAUUUUUUUAAAUUGGACCUUGUGUGACUGUAUGCAAGUCCUCUAAGUUACCUGGGAUUCAGGUUCCUGAAUUACCAAACAAAUAAAAGCAGA